This 75-nucleotide transfer RNA is filed under the name Bdellovibrionales bacterium RIFOXYD1_FULL_53_11. Its description in RNAcentral is "tRNA-Ser". The record is from RNAcentral. Lineage: Bacteria; Pseudomonadati; Bdellovibrionota; Bdellovibrionia; Bdellovibrionales.
GAGGGCGUGAUUGCAGACCGGUUAUUUUGCUUCCCAAGCUUGAGGUCGAGGGUUCGAGCCCCUUCGCCCGCUCCA